This 642-nucleotide ribosomal RNA is filed under the name uncultured bacterium. RNAcentral's name for it is "bacterial SSU rRNA". It matches the Rfam family "Bacterial small subunit ribosomal RNA", at positions 340 to 973 of the family's 1533-position model. The record is from RNAcentral.
UACGGGAGGCAGCAGUGGGGAAUAUUGGACAAUGGGCGCAAGCCUGAUCCAGCCAUGCCGCGUGUGUGAAGAAGGCCUUAUGGUUGUAAAGCACUUUAAGCGAGGAGGAGGCUACUGAAGUUAAUACCUUCAGAUAGUGGACGUUACUCGCAGAAUAAGCACCGGCUAACUCUGUGCCAGCAGCCGCGGUAAUACAGAGGGUGCAAGCGUUAAUCGGAUUUACUGGGCGUAAAGCGCGCGUAGGCGGCUAAUUAAGUCAAAUGUGAAAUCCCCGAGCUUAACUUGGGAAUUGCAUUCGAUACUGGUUAGCUAGAGUGUGGGAGAGGAUGGUAGAAUUCCAGGUGUAGCGGUGAAAUGCGUAGAGAUCUGGAGGAAUACCGAUGGCGAAGGCAGCCAUCUGGCCUAACACUGACGCUGAGGUGCGAAAGCAUGGGGAGCAAACAGGAUUAGAUACCCUGGUAGUCCAUGCCGUAAACGAUGUCUACUAGCCGUUGGGGCCUUUGAGGCUUUAGUGGCGCAGCUAACGCGAUAAGUAGACCGCCUGGGGAGUACGGUCGCAAGACUAAAACUCAAAUGAAUUGACGGGGGCCCGCACAAGCGGUGGAGCAUGUGGUUUAAUUCGAUGCAACGCGAAGAACCUUA